AAUUUUAUCUUAAAAUUUAUAUUUAUAGAUAAUAAAUAAAAUUAUUUAAAAUAAUAAUAAAAUAAAAAAUUUUUAUUAAAAUUUAUUUAACAAAAUAUUAUAUUUAUAGUAAAUUAGUAUAGUAAUAGAAUGAUGAAAUAAUUAAAAAUUUUAUUUUAAAAAAGUAAAUUUUAUUUAUUGUAUCUUGUGUAUCAGAGAUUAUUAAAAAAUAAUUUUUUAAUAAGUUUUUUCGAAAUUUAAAGAGUUAAUUAAUUAUUAUAGUUAUUGUAAUAUAAAUAUUAUUUAUAAUUAAUUAGAAAUAAAAUGUUAAUCGAUUUAAAUAAUAUCUAAUUUUUUAAGAAAUAAAUUUAAUUUAUAUAUUUAACUAAAAUUUUUUUUUUUAAUUAAAGAAAUUUAUUUUAAAUAUUAAUAUCAAAUGGGAUAAGCUUUUUGUUAAAUUUUUAAAUAAAAAAUGAUUUAGUUAAAAUUAAUAAAAAUAAAAUUAUUUAUUAAUUAUAUUUUAUUAUAAAAAAUUUUUUAAUCAAUAAUAUUUUAAUAUAUAAUAAUUAAUUUAAUUUAUUGAAAUAUACAUUUUAAUUAAUUUAAUGUGGAAAUAAUGAUAAUAUUAGUAUAUUAAUAAUAAAUUAUAAAAUUUAAAAGUUUAUUUAAAAAUAUUUUUAAGAAUUCGGCAAAUUUUCAUAUUCGCUUGUUUAACAAAAACAUGUCUUUUUGAUAAAUAAUUUAAAGUCUAAUCUGCCCCCUGAAAUUAUUUUAAAGGGCUGCGGUAUCUUAACCGUACAAAGGUAGCAUAAUAAUUAGGUUUUUAAUUGAAAUCUUGAAUGAAUGAUUGGACGAGAUAUGAGCUGUUUUAAAAUAUAAAAUUGAAUUUAAUUUUUUAGUUAAAAAGCUAAAAUAUAUUUAAAAGACGAGAAGACCCUAUAAAUCUUUAUAGUUUAUUUAUUUUAAUUAAUUAUUUUAAUAAAAUUAAUUUAAGUAAUAGAAGUAUUUUAUUGGGGUGAUAUAAAAAUUUUUUAAACUUUUUAUGACUAUAAUACUAUAAUUAAAGAUUUAUAUAACAUGAUCUAUUAUUAAUAAUUUAAAGAAAAAGAUACUUUAGGGAUAACAGCGUAAUUUUAAUAUUAAGUUCAUAUUAUUAUUAAAGAUUGCGACCUCGAUGUUGGAUUAAAAUUUAAUUUAAAUGCAAAAGUUUAAAAAUUAAGUCUGUUCGACUUUUAAAAUUUUACAUGAUCUGAGUUCAAACCGGUGUGAGCCAGGUUGGUUUCUAUCUUUAAUAAAAAAAUAUUUUUUAGUACGAAAGGAUCAAAAAUUUCAUAAUAUUUAUGUUUAUUGAGAAAAAAAUUAAUAAUUUA
This 1349-nucleotide ribosomal RNA is filed under the name Nothopsyche ruficollis. RNAcentral describes it as "16S ribosomal RNA". Lineage: Eukaryota; Metazoa; Arthropoda; Insecta; Trichoptera; Limnephilidae. The record is from RNAcentral.